UAACGGCCCACCAAGGCGACGAUCAGUAGCCGGCCUGAGAGGGUGAACGGCCACAUUGGGACUGAGACACGGCCCAAACUCCUACGGGAGGCAGCAUG
Molecule: ribosomal RNA, 98 nt
Filed under: uncultured bacterium
Lineage: Bacteria
Description: partial 16S ribosomal RNA
Rfam family: Bacterial small subunit ribosomal RNA
Source: RNAcentral